UCCUGUGAUUAGUGGCGAACGGGUGAGUAACACGUGAGUAACCUGCCCCUGACUCUGGGAUAAGCGUUGGAAACGACGUCUAAUACUGGAUAGGACUACUGGCCGCAUGGUCUGGUGGUGGAAAGAUUUUUUGGUUGGGGAUGGACUCGCGGCCUAUCAGCUUGUUGGUGAGGUAAUGGCUCACCAAGGCGACGACGGGUAGCCGGCCUGAGAGGGUGACCGGCCACACUGGGACUGAGACACGGCCCAGACUCCUACGGGAGGCAGCAGUGGGGAAUAUUGCACAAUGGGCGAAAGCCUGAUGCAGCAACGCCGCGUGAGGGAUGACGGCCUUCGGGUUGUAAACCUCUUUUAGUAGGGAAGAAGCGAAAGUGACGGUACCUGCAGAAAAAGCACCGGCUAACUACGUGCCAGCAGCCGCGGUAAUACGUAGGGUGCAAGCGUUGUCCGGAAUUAUUGGGCGUAAAGAGCUCGUAGGCGGUUUGUCGCGUCUGCUGUGAAAUCCCGAGGCUCAACCUCGGGCUUGCAGUGGGUACGGGCAGACUAGAGUGCGGUAGGGGAGAUUGGAAUUCCUGGUGUAGCGGUGGAAUGCGCAGAUAUCAGGAGGAACACCGAUGGCGAAGGCAGAUCUCUGGGCCGUAACUGACGCUGAGGAGCGAAAGCAUGGGGAGCGAACAGGAUUAGAUACCCUGGUAGUCCAU
This 701-nucleotide ribosomal RNA is filed under the name Curtobacterium sp. RNAcentral's name for it is "bacterial SSU rRNA". It matches the Rfam family "Bacterial small subunit ribosomal RNA", at positions 84 to 798 of the family's 1533-position model. The record is from RNAcentral. Lineage: Bacteria; Bacillati; Actinomycetota; Actinomycetes; Micrococcales; Microbacteriaceae.